Molecule: long non-coding RNA, 1293 nt
Organism: Notolabrus celidotus (New Zealand spotty)
Lineage: Eukaryota; Metazoa; Chordata; Actinopteri; Labriformes; Labridae
Exons: 10
Source: RefSeq, a predicted model, not a curated record
CCACAACUGCAGCCACAUGCUGGCGGUUUCAGAGUUUAGUUUACAGUUUGAAACCCUGACUCUGACACAGACGUAUCUGCUGCACGGAUUGUAACCUCAGGGAGAGAAGCAGGAACCACCACAGAGGCAGAAACUGAGAAUUCAUCGCCUUCACUUAUCGCCAUCGUCAAAGGAUCGUAUAUGAAAAUUGAAGGAUGCAGCGGGGUUGUAAACGGAGCUUACGGUCUCUCUAAAAGGUACAUGGCCCAGGACAGGGGGCCCGAGCUGGAGAACGCCCCAGGGUUCAUGCUUCGAUCCUGGGUGCUGAAGCAGCAACAGCUGGGGCCAAAAGUCCGACACCCAGAGGGGAGAGCGAGGAUGUAUCAAGGGAGUUUCUGGAGCUAAAUUUGGACACUAUCCGGGAGAUGGCACCAAGUUUCAGCAGCAGUCUGCAGAGGAAAUGGUAAAGAAGGCCUGUUGCAGCAAAGAUGGAGGACAAGGUGAAAGGACCACGCUGAUGAUGCAGCUUGUUAACAACAUGAAGGCUUUGUGAAACCACCACAUCCUCCUCCCAGUCUCACCCAUGCAUCAGCUGUACUCGAGAAAUCCUCAGGACCAAAACCAAGCCAGUUCCUGAAACAGUGGCUCCUGAGUACCAAAGCAGCCGGGGUGGACCAGAUAACAAGAAUCACAGACAGGACCACAGCAGGGACGAUCACCGCAGGCAUCAGGGCAGGACGUUUUAGGGCGGCCAACCAAGAGGCAGCCAGCCCAGAUAAACGAGCCCAGAUGCUGAUGAUGAUCUCGGCGCUGGAGGAGCUGCACAGGACAUUUAACAGCACCCUGAGCUCACGGAUCACCAUCAUGCCACGAGCAAACGGCAGAAAUUCAGGAAGAAAAAAUAAAUUGCCUCCGGGUGUCGAAGGAGGGUUGAAGCAAACCACUGCGGCCCCAGCAGCUGUUAACAGCACCGCCUCCAAAACCAGUGCAGACAUCAUCGUGCCCAGUCUGACCGGCCGCAACUUCAGGAAGUCGCUCCCACCACAGGGCAGGAAGACCAACAAACGAGUGUGUUUCUGGAAGUACUGCUCACAGAACUGAUCGCCUCUCGGCUGCUGGUGUCCUUCCAUACUCUCCAACCCUGUCCUCAUCCUCACCCAUCCAUUAUCCAUCCAUCCAUCCAUCCAUCCAUCCAUCCAUCCAUCCAGUCAACCUUAGUGUUUCCAAAUCUUGAGUAAGGAUUAUAUGGACUCUGAUCCCCACAUGACCUGGAGCUUAAACCCCUCUGCCACCCAGGGACUAGCACCACUUGAG